This 400-nucleotide ribosomal RNA is filed under the name uncultured bacterium. RNAcentral's name for it is "bacterial SSU rRNA". It matches the Rfam family "Bacterial small subunit ribosomal RNA", at positions 355 to 748 of the family's 1533-position model. The record is from RNAcentral.
UGGGGAAUCUUGCGCAAUGGGGGAAACCCUGACGCAGCGACGCCGCGUGAGUGAUGAAGGCCUUCGGGUUGUAAAGCUCUGUGGAGAGGGACGAAUAAGUGUGGUCGAAUAGGCCGCAUGAUGACGGUACCUUUUUAGCAAGCACCGGCUAACUCUGUGCCAGCAGCCGCGGUAAGACAGAGGGUGCAAACGUUGUUCGGAAUUACUGGGCGUAAAGCGCGUGUAGGCUGCUUGGAAAGUCGGAUGUGAAAGCCCUGGGCUCAACCUAGGAAGUGCAUUCGAAACUUCCAAGCUCGAGUUUCGGAGAGGAAGGCGGAAUUCUCGGUGUAGAGGUGAAAUUCGUAGAUAUCGAGAGGAACAUCGGUGGCGAAGGCGGCCUUCUGGACGAUGACUGACGCUG